Ostrea edulis (European flat oyster) is the source of this 590-nucleotide long non-coding RNA. RefSeq lists it as uncharacterized. Lineage: Eukaryota; Metazoa; Mollusca; Bivalvia; Ostreida; Ostreidae. The transcript has 2 exons. The record is from RefSeq and is a predicted model, not a curated record.
UUUUUUGAAAGUUUCAAUAUAACAUUUUAAAACCUCUCUGAAUGUUUCGAUUUUAAUGCAAUUUCGGUUAUCGUUCUUGAAUUUAACCUCGAUGAUCGCUAGGGGCGCUGCUUGUCAACACGCUAAGUGCACGGAAUAUGGCGGAUCCAAAACUGAAUGCCGUGUAGGACAAUAUUCCGACAGAGUGUGAUCUACCCUGAAGCCUUAUCUAAAGGAAAAAAGGAUAUAUUUAUCUUCGGAGAGAGUCAGAAAUACAUUGAUGCAUAUGACGUCACUGAAGAUAGACCGUGUGUGGAGCAGCCGACAACGAAGACCGAGCAACAUAAUCAACAUAUCUUAUAUGGCAUGUCACCAAGUCAGCACAUUAUGGUCUCUGCAAAACCCAAGGACAUAUUUAAAAGUGGUGACAGGAGGAAAAUCAAUCAAACCAAGUGAAAGUACAAGAUACUAUUACAAAAGGAAAGCAAAGGAGUCCAUAAAUUCAAUGUUGAACAUCAAGACAGUCUAAAGAAUUUAAUCCAAACAAAAUAUCAAAACUUUAUGAAGAAAUAAAUGACAAAGUGUCAAAUAAACAUGAAAGCAUUCUUAUA